UCGAACUGCGUACAGGCUGAAGCAGCCACCAAGUUCCACCAGGGGCUGCUGUUGAACUUCUGAAAAAAAAAAUACCAUAAUUCGGAGGAGAAGAACAAAGGUCCUAGAAAAAGACCACAGAAAGGGUCACACCUCAAAAGCAGAAGCUAUUUUAGAUGCAUGAAAUGACAGCUUUCUCAGAGCCGACUGUGGAUGCUGAUAGACCUGCGUGUCUUCAAGCAGGCAAGUCGCUGGCGCCAGCUUCGCAGAAGCGUCCCCUGCACAAUGGGCGAGUCACCUAGAAAGGCAACCUCAACUGCAGGUUAAUCAUCCAGCCCUGGCUGGUGGCACUUCUCCCGGCCCUGCAUCCUACCAAAGAGCAAGAAAGACAAGAACUGUUUUCUCUUUGCUAUUUAACUUAACAGAAUCUGGGCUCAACAUUAGUUGGAGAUGAUAUUUCCUCUCGGCUGGGAUGGAAAGGCUACUGUAAUUUAGUAGUACAUUGUGAGGAAAAACUACGCAGCAUCUUUCUCCUCUCUUGUAUCAUUCCCUGGAUGGGAGAACACACAAAGUGGUGACUGUGUGGCUCAGGCAUGCACAGAUAACUCAUGUGUUACAGAGUCCGAGGGAAGAAGCUAUGUGAUGUUUUGGACUUAGAAACAUUUGUGAAAAAAUGUAUUUGUGUCAGUGAGUUGAAAAGUAUAUAUAUAUGUAUAUAUAUAUAUGAAGCAGGAUACAAAUAUUAUAGCGAGGAACAAAUGGUUCAGCGGAUCAGACCUAUCCUCUCUAGAGGUAGAGAGCAAACAUCUCCUAAUGGGAUGGGUAGCAAGAUGAGUAUUCUACAUUUGUUUUUCGGUUCUACCUAAGUCUUUGUAACUUUACAAUGUAAGAUUCAGAAAUUGGAGCCAAUUACCAUAAUCUGUGGUGGUUUGGUGGGAACAUGUUCUACAUCAGACAGUUAAAAGGGUGGAUUGCUAUUAGGGCAUGUUAAUGCCCUUGAUAAUGUCUCUACUCGCUUUGUAAUGGCUCUUGCUGAAGUAUAGAAUUCUUUUAUCUUCUUAUUACAUUAUGCAAAAACUUGAAUUGAAAAGAUAUUUGCAGGAGCAUUUAAAGUAGUGCAUCAAUCAGCUUCAAAGACGAGAAAAUGUUCUUGGAAUAGCUUAUAAAAGGAUAACUGUCACUUUUAUUUUGGGUGAACAAAGGCGACAACGCAGAGAGCAUUUUAUUGUAGAAGCACAUGGCGCGAUUCAAUAAAUACGCCGUGCAAAUAGGAAAGAGAAGGAAGUUCGUAAUUAUCUUAUGACUUGAGCAUCAUUUAAGCAACACUUUCAAAAUGCAGCCGGCGACGAAGCACUCUUGCUGCUGGGUCCUGAGUUCUAGCCUGUGAGUCCCCGUGAGGUGAUAACUGUCUUUGAUAACAUAGGAUUUGAAUGGAUUAGUCAUGCUCUGUUUUUAAUACUUCUCAGAAUGAUACAGAAAGGAGCGUGUGGGGAGAGCAUUAGCAAAAAUCCUAACAACCACUUAAUGGCGUAAGCUUCUCAAAAUGGGUUUCCUUAUGUGCGUGUUAUUCAAUUGUUGCUCUUCUUGUGGCUGCUGCUAAGACAGCUUUGGAUUCGGGUUUAACUGCAUUGUGACUUGGGUUAGCAUGUCCAGAUGUUCCCUGUGUAUUAAGAGAAAUCUCUCGGCAGCAUAAUUCCGGACCUUUAGGAUCAGGGGUGCUUUGCUGCUGUUCAUUAAGGAUAUUUACGCCUUCUUUAAAAUGAGAACUUUCUUGUUAGCUUGUAAGCAUGCUUUUGAAACUAUAAAUGCUAACUAUGCGAUCUUAUUUUUCAAGUAUGUCUCCCAGGAUGAUGAUGGAUGCUGGAGAGAUGACUCUGUUCAGCAAGGCUUAAGAAGC
Long non-coding RNA from Onychomys torridus (southern grasshopper mouse), 1876 nucleotides. RefSeq lists it as uncharacterized. NCBI's taxonomy places the organism in Eukaryota, Metazoa, Chordata, Mammalia, Rodentia, Cricetidae. The transcript has 3 exons. The record is from RefSeq and is a predicted model, not a curated record.